RNAcentral lists this ribosomal RNA (253 nucleotides) under uncultured bacterium. RNAcentral's name for it is "partial 16S ribosomal RNA". It matches the Rfam family "Bacterial small subunit ribosomal RNA", at positions 524 to 776 of the family's 1533-position model. The record is from RNAcentral.
GACGUAGGAGGCGAGCGUUAUCCGGAUUCACUGGGCGUAAAGCGCAUGUAGGCGGUUGCACAAGUCCGUUGUUAAGGCCCCUGGCUCAACUGGGGGAGGUCAAUGGAGACUGUGCGACUUGAGGGCAAUAGAGGCACGUGGAACUCCCGGUGUAGCGGUGGAAUGCGUAGAGAUCGGGAAGAACACCAGUGGCGAAGGCGACGUGCUGGGUUGCACCUGACGCUGAGAUGCGAAAGUGUGGGGAGCAAACGGG